RNAcentral lists this unclassified non-coding RNA (2517 nucleotides) under Leishmania donovani. RNAcentral describes it as "gene:LdHU3.08.1590(CDS-product:hypothetical_prote in_conserved)". Lineage: Eukaryota; Euglenozoa; Kinetoplastea; Trypanosomatida; Trypanosomatidae. The record is from RNAcentral.
AGAGGCACAUACACACCCACCCACACGCACGCACAGACACGCUCACAAAACUGCAUAGGAGAGGACAGUGGCAUCAUCGUUGGUGUGCGUGUGCUGUCCUGUGCUACGUAGGCGGCUGUCACUCUCUACCUCUCUCUCCUUGGUCGAUCGAUGGAGCCGCACAUGACGUCUCUCGUGUUGCGCCGCGACCUCUCCCUGGAGGUACCGAAGCUGUUGAUUGGCGCGGUGCAGCCGUACCAGACACUCGCCGGCCCCGCGCUCACCACGUCCUUCCUGCAUCAGCCAGACCUCCUUCCGUUCCAGCGGACCGCCUUCUCGCACGCUGCCAUCGCACCGCUGUACUUCCACACGCUGCUGCACACCCUCGCUGAGUUUGCCGAGACGCCGCGCGCGGUCCAGUAUAGUGCAGUGAAGCUGCGCCACGCCCCCAAGGCCGACUUCUGGGACUCCGUCGGCACGCUGAACUGUUUCUACUACUCUGCCCAUGCACCUUAUGGGGCACCGGCAGAGGCCUCCGUUUUGGACCAGCAUCCGGCUAUGGGGGCCGUGGAGCUCAUGCGCCCGGGGCACCGCAUGGAGAGCGACGUUAAGCUGACGCUCUUCAACAACUCCCACCAGCCCAUCGCGUCGAUGCUGAUGACCGGCCCGAAGGGCGCAACGCGCGAGGCUGACGACAACGCGAUAGAGAGUAGUCAGGACACCUCCUCCACUUCCCCUCACGCGAGGACUGCCUUUCCGUAUGUGGCGCCGCCCACCAAGGAGACCGCGUCCGCUAGCGACUGCCUCUCUGCCGUCAUGAUCGGCGGCACACGAGUACACGGCGGCCUGUACGGUGAUCUGAUGCCUAUGGAGGGCGGUGGCGGCUUUGGACAGCGUGCCUGUUACCGGGUAGAAGAUGCCGCCGCGUCCUCGCCGUCCCCGAAUGACCGAAGCCGGGUCAGCGGGACGGAGGCAGCGGCUGAAGAACGUACCGCCUCUUCGUCGGCGCCCACCGUCAUGCCGCCGUGGGUGCUCUACGACUGCGUUCAGCGAUUUUUUCUCCGGCUGCAUCGCAGCGGCGUCUUCGGCGGUGAUGCAGCCAUUGCACCGACGGAGGGGUGGCGUGUCUCGGCUCACCACGUCGUACAAACCGAGGAUGCGGUCUUUGGCGUUCCGGUGGAGGUGGUCUGCGCCGUGCCGCGUGUGUACCCGAGCUACAGAUUGCCGCCAUGGAGGCAUCGGCUGGGACUUCCCGCCAUUCCCAACGGCGCCGCACCAUGUGUGAGUCUGCGCUGUGAGACGCGGCAAGGUGGCCGGCUUAUUUCCACUGGUGUUUACUUCUUUACUCGGUUGUAACGAGGACGCGGAUUCAUGGAUCGUGUGGGGGCCUGGGCUGCCGUCGAGGUGGUGUCGUAUGGCCACUCUGCUUCCUCCCUCGAUGCUCUCGCCUCUGCCGCUGCCGAAGUCGCCAGCACCUGCUUCACGCCUCUUUGUUUGGAUUUCGUCUUUACAGUCUGCACUGCGCUCUCUUGCGCUUGGCGUUACAUGCGCGCAUGUGUGGGGGUGUACACGCACACGACGGAGCACAACGUUCGUAUUCGAGUUGUUGAAUGACCCAAACGGCAACUCGGGGCACCUCCGCGAUUGAGCAGACGUUACUUUCUUCAGGCACCUAAGCAUCUCACGCUUGCCGCUUCUCGUUACUUUCAUCAGCCUCUUUCCACUGACGGGGCAGGAUAUGUGUUGUCGUGUACGUCGCCGCACAUGUUUGUGCGGCGAGUAACCUCAUCCGCGUCCUUACGCAAGCACAGGACUCUUCUCUGUCGGAAUGCCGCUCACCGUCUCUUUCUCUCGCCGCCAGCGGUGCCAGUGAGCGACUGGGAGGGGUCGAGCACGACGACGUCUUCGCUGGGCCUCAUACUCCCACUCGACGUCCGCUGCCUCACAUUGUUCUCCCCACGUCUGCGCCUCUCCCCGGUGACGGGGGGUACACCUCGGCGCGAUAUCGCGCGGUCCAGUACCCACGCUCUGUGUGUGGGGAGUCGCGAAGCAGCCCCGCAUCCCCUGCCGAAUGCCGAACCGCUCCUGGUGGUGACAGGGCCAAGCACCUACGACGUGGAGAGGUGAGCGCGGCUUACUGCCACUGAUGUCGGCGGCGGGGUCCUGGGUGGCGCUGCCUCGGAGCGACCUGCGGCUGUGAGUAGGUCUUUAUCACCCAUAUGGUGGGCAGGGCGUCCACGUGACCCGCGCGUAUCCGACCGGGCCCUCACACGGCGCACUGGUGUGUGUGGGUGUGGGGGCCGAGCCCCCCGAGGGGCGGGAACGCACCAGGCGAUGGGGCGUGUGGCCGGCCGGUGGGCAGAGCGGCGCCGGCCUCGUGCACCCUGGCGGAGAAUGGCCGCGCGGAAGAGAGAGCUCGCACGUACGCCUCUUCCGCUGCGCUCCCUGGCGUUCCUCUCUGUGCCCCAUUUCCCUCGACCCUUUCCCAUCUGCUCUCACGGACUCUCUCCCACGGCAUGCACACGAGCACGCCCACAG